AUUGAACGCUGGCGGCAGGCCUAACACAUGCAAGUCGAACGAGUGGCGGACGGGUGAGCAAUGUCUGGGAAACUGCCUGAUGGAGGGGGCCAACUACUGGAAACGGUUGCUAAUACCGCAUACCAUCAGAUCUGCUCAGAUGGAAUUAGCUUGUUGGUGGGGUAACGGCUCACCAAGGCGACGAUCCCUAGCUGGUCUGAGAGGAUGACCAGCCACACUGGGACUGAGACACGUGCCAGACCGCUACGGGAGGCAGCAGUAGGGAAUAUUGGGCAAUGGGCGCAAGCCGGAUGGAGCCAUGCCGCGUGUGUGAAGAAGGCCUUCGGGUUGUAAAAUACUUUCAGCGGGGACGCGUUACCCGCAGAAGAAGCACCGGCUAACUCCGUGCCAGCAGCCGCGGUAAUAC
Molecule: ribosomal RNA, 406 nt
Filed under: uncultured bacterium
Lineage: Bacteria
Description: partial 16S ribosomal RNA
Rfam family: Bacterial small subunit ribosomal RNA
Source: RNAcentral